AUGUCUGUUCUGAAAUAUGUUGAGAAGGAAGGCAAAAGUGAUAAGAAAUGUCAGGCACGUGGUCUUGUAGCAUAUUUUGAGACCUUUGAUUUUGUUUUCUAUUUGCACAUGAUGUUGCAUAUAUUGGGAAAUGCAAAUACUUUGUCGCAGUCUUUACAAAGGAAGGAUCAAGACAUCUUGAAUGCCAUCUCAUGUGUGAAGUCAACAAGAAAUGAGCUGCAAGAACUAAGGGAUAAUGGAUGGGACUCACUUCUUGAGAAGGCAUAUUCAUUUUGUGAAGAGCAUCACAUUGAGAAUGCAAAUAUGCAGGAGCAAUAUGUUAAUCGGCAAAAACCACGGCAAAAAACCAAUAAGACAAACCUUCAACAUUACCGAAUUGAGUGUCUUAAUUCUGUUAUUGAUUGGCAGCUUCAAGAGUUUGAUGACCGCUUCAAUGAGGUAAAUUCUGCAUUGGUUGGGCACAUGGCUUCUUUCAAUCCCAAAGACUCUUUUGCUGCUUUCCACUUGAACAGCUUAGUGAAGCUAGCUGAGUUUUAA
RNAcentral lists this ribosomal RNA (537 nucleotides) under Triticum aestivum (bread wheat). RNAcentral's name for it is "partial small subunit ribosomal RNA". The record is from RNAcentral. Lineage: Eukaryota; Viridiplantae; Streptophyta; Magnoliopsida; Poales; Poaceae.